Molecule: ribosomal RNA, 253 nt
Filed under: uncultured bacterium
Lineage: Bacteria
Description: partial 16S ribosomal RNA
Rfam family: Bacterial small subunit ribosomal RNA
Source: RNAcentral
UACGUAGGGUCCGAGCGUUGUCCGGAAUCACUGGGCGUAAAGCACACGUAGGCGGAUUGUUAAGUCAGGGGUGAAAGCCUGGAGCUCAACUCCAGAACUGCCCUUGAUACUGGCAAUCUCGAGUCCGGAAGAGGUAAGUGGAACUCCGAGUGUAGAGGUGAAAUUCGUAGAUAUUCGGAAGAACACCAGUGGCGAAGGCGGCUUACUGGUCCGGUACUGACGCUGAGGUGCGAAAGCGUGGGGAGCAAACAGG